ACGUAGGGGGCGAGCGUUGUCCGGAUUUAUUGGGCGUAAAGAGCUCGUAGGCGGUUCACUAAGUCGGGUGUGAAACCUCCAGGCUCAACCUGGAGACGCCACCUGAUACUGGUGUGACUAGAGUCCGGUAGGGGAGUGUGGAACUCCUGGUGUAGCGGUGAAAUGCGCAGAUAUCAGGAAGAACACCAGCGGCGAAGGCGGCACUCUGGGCCGGUACUGACGCUGAGGAGCGAAAGCGUGGGUAGCAAACAGGAUUAGAUACCCUGGUAGUCCACGCCGUAAACGUUGGGCACUAGGUGUGGGUCUCAACCAACGAGAUCCGUGCCGCAGCUAACGCAUUAAGUGCCCCGCCUGGGGAGUACGGCCGCAAGGCUA
This 375-nucleotide ribosomal RNA is filed under the name uncultured bacterium. Its description in RNAcentral is "bacterial SSU rRNA". It matches the Rfam family "Bacterial small subunit ribosomal RNA", at positions 525 to 896 of the family's 1533-position model. The record is from RNAcentral.